Molecule: long non-coding RNA, 465 nt
Filed under: Gossypium barbadense (sea-island cotton)
Lineage: Eukaryota; Viridiplantae; Streptophyta; Magnoliopsida; Malvales; Malvaceae
Description: long non-coding RNA (GBAR_LNC020574)
Source: RNAcentral
UUUUCAUCUUUCUUCAUAGAAAGAAUCUACUUGUAGAUACAAGUGAAAGAAACUUUCAUCUCUCUCUCGCUUGAACACCUUCCAUCACCAUCUUCACCUCAGCCAUUUGAUCACUACCAUCAACUCCAACCCUCAUCACCCUAAACCUGCAAACCCAACCAUAAAUUCGAGGGAACCCAAGUCCCAACAGUAAAACCAAAGAAAAAAACAAUCCACCAGCAACCGAAAAUAAAAGAAAAAGAACUCCUUGUUUUGAAGUCAAGCAGAACCUGCAAAGAAAAAGAUAACAAGUCAGAGAACUAAAAAAGGAGAAAGAACAGAAAAGAGGAAGAGCUCUCUGUCGCUGGUGUAUCUUGGCUGCAGAACGGCGGCAGUGGGCAGAGCAAGAAGGGGGGGAAAAACAAGAAACAAAAAGAGGUAAUUGGUCGGAGGGAAUCUACUUGCAGACUGAGAGAUGAAAGGAAA